RNAcentral lists this ribosomal RNA (253 nucleotides) under uncultured bacterium. Its description in RNAcentral is "partial 16S ribosomal RNA". It matches the Rfam family "Bacterial small subunit ribosomal RNA", at positions 524 to 776 of the family's 1533-position model. The record is from RNAcentral.
UACGGAGGUUGCAAGCGUUAUCCGGAUUCACUGGGUUUAAAGGGCGCGUAGGCUGUGCUGUAAGUCAGGCGUGAAAUCCCCGGGCUCAACCUGGGAAUUGCGCAUGAUACUGCGGCGCUUGAAGACGGGAGAGGAUGGCGGAAUUCCCAGUGUAGAGGUGAAAUUCGUAGAUAUUGGGAAGAACACCGGUGGCGAAGGCGGCCAUCUGGCCCGUAAUUGACGCUGAGGCGCGAAAGCGUGGGGAGCAAACAGG